This 478-nucleotide ribosomal RNA is filed under the name uncultured bacterium. Its description in RNAcentral is "partial 16S ribosomal RNA". It matches the Rfam family "Bacterial small subunit ribosomal RNA", at positions 28 to 507 of the family's 1533-position model. The record is from RNAcentral.
GAUUAACGCUGGCGGCGUGCAUAACACAUGCCAGUCGAACGAUGAAACUCAUUAGAUUUCUUCGGAAUGAAAAUGAAUGGAUUAGUGGCGAACGGGUGAGUAACGCGUGAGUAACCUGCCUUACACAAGGGGAUAGCCUCUGGAAACGGAGAAUAAUACCCUAUGAAACCAGACAAUCGCAUGAUAAUCUGGUCAAAAUGUUUAGUGGUGUAAGAUGGACUUGCGUCUGAUUAGCUAGUUGGUGAGAUAAAAGCUCACCAAGGCAACGAUCAGUAGCCGGCUUGAGAGAGUGUACGGCCACAUUGGGACUGAGACACGGCCCAGACUCCUACGGGAGGCAGCAGUGGGGAAUUUUGCACAAUGGGGGAAACCCUGAUGCAGCGACGCCGCGUGAUUUAGAAGGCCUUCGGGUUGUAAAAAUCUUUUGUAUAGGAAGAAAAUGACAGUACUAUACGAAUAAGGUCCGGCUAAUUACGUG